CCGCGCGCGGCGGCGCGCAUGCCGCCGCCGGCGCGCGCCCCAACGAUCUGGAGACAAGUUCAUGCAAGCGUUC
Molecule: non-coding RNA, 73 nt
Filed under: Burkholderia mallei NCTC 10247
Lineage: Bacteria; Pseudomonadati; Pseudomonadota; Betaproteobacteria; Burkholderiales; Burkholderiaceae
Also listed under: 5 other names
Source: RNAcentral